This 30-nucleotide non-coding RNA is filed under the name Rattus norvegicus (Norway rat). Lineage: Eukaryota; Metazoa; Chordata; Mammalia; Rodentia; Muridae. The record is from RNAcentral.
UAGAAUGGUGGCCAGACGAGAGAUACGAUA